UACAGAGGGUGCGAGCGUUAAUCGGAAUUACUGGGCGUAAAGGGCGCGUAGGCGGUGUAUUAAGUUAGAUGUGAAAUCCCUGGGCUUAACCUAGGAACUGCAUCUAAUACUGGUACGCUAGAGUGCGGUAGAGGAUAGUGGAAUUUCCGGUGUAGCGGUGAAAUGCGCAGAUAUCGGGAAGAACACCCGUGGCGAAGGCGGCACUCUGGGACGGUACUGACGCUGAGACGCGAAAGCGUGGGGAGCGAACAGG
Molecule: ribosomal RNA, 253 nt
Filed under: uncultured bacterium
Lineage: Bacteria
Description: partial 16S ribosomal RNA
Rfam family: Bacterial small subunit ribosomal RNA
Source: RNAcentral